UACGUAGGUGGCAAGCGUUAUCCGGAUUUAUUGGGCGUAAAGGGAACGCAGGCGGUCUUUUAAGUCUGAUGUGAAAGCCUUCGGCUUAACCGGAGUAGUGCAUUGGAAACUGGGAGACUUGAGUGCAGAAGAGGAGAGUGGAACUCCAUGUGUAGCGGUGAAAUGCGUAGAUAUAUGGAAGAACACCAGUGGCGAAAGCGGCUCUCUGGUCUGUAGCUGACGCUGAGGUUCGAAAGCGUGGGUAGCAAGCAGG
This 253-nucleotide ribosomal RNA is filed under the name uncultured bacterium. RNAcentral describes it as "partial 16S ribosomal RNA". It matches the Rfam family "Bacterial small subunit ribosomal RNA", at positions 524 to 776 of the family's 1533-position model. The record is from RNAcentral.